Molecule: ribosomal RNA, 440 nt
Filed under: uncultured bacterium
Lineage: Bacteria
Description: bacterial SSU rRNA
Rfam family: Bacterial small subunit ribosomal RNA
Source: RNAcentral
CCUACGGGUGGCAGCAGUAAGGAAUAUUGCGCAAUGGGCGAAAGCCUGACGCAGCAACGCCGCGUGCGGGAUGAAGGCCCUCGGGUUGUAAACCGCUUUCAGUAGGGAAGAAAAUGACGGUACCUACAGAAGAAGCCCCGGCCAACUACGUGCCAGCAGCCGCGGUAACACGUAGGGGGCGAGCGUUGUCCGGAUUUAUUGGGCGUAAAGAGCUCGUAGGCGGUUUCGUAAGUCGGAUGUGAAAACUCCAGGCUCAACUUGGAGACGCCAUUCGAUACUGCGAUGACUUGAGUCCGGUAGGGGAGUGUGGAAUUCCUGGUGUAGCGGUGAAAUGCGCAGAUAUCAGGAGGAACACCGGCGGCGAAGGCGGCACUCUGGGCCGGUACUGACGCUGAGGAGCGAAAGCGUGGGUAGCAAACAGGAUUAGAUACCCCAGUAGU